Molecule: long non-coding RNA, 717 nt
Organism: Dendronephthya gigantea
Lineage: Eukaryota; Metazoa; Cnidaria; Anthozoa; Malacalcyonacea; Nephtheidae
Exons: 3
Source: RefSeq, a predicted model, not a curated record
AUAUAUUUUGUAUAUUUGUAUCAGCUAAUAUAAUAUUACAUUCGAAAAAAUCGCCAAAAAGCAAGAGAUAUCGUUGUUAAUGAUAGAACACUACCUGUAAUUAAAUGAAGAAGAAAAUAUAAAAAAGGAAAUAUUGGAAUAUCAGAUACGCCAUAGGCUAGGCAUGGUCGUGGUUUAUGAUCAUUUAACAGUCAGCAAAGAACAUGGAAAGAAUAAAUGGUUUUGUGGUUAGACUGAUAAUGAUAGACUGUACGUAAUCGACCUAAAGAAGUUUGACUUUUGAAACCAAUAAAGUAGAUCAUCCAGAAAUUACAGAUUUAUUGUCAUGGAAAAGUAUUCAAUCAGUUAUAUCCAUAUAAACAAAGAGGGAUGCUAGCUAAUAGUCAUGAUGAUCAUCUUACUUCAGUAUCGAUGCGAUUGUUAUUGUCUUUGAUUUUCUGAUCCCGAAAUUGGAACUAAAGAAGAUGACGGAUGAAAAGGUUUGGCAAAGAGCUGAAAUGGAAUUUACCUCCUCUUUUACUCGGCUUCUCUCCAAGCUAGUAUCCAAAGCUUGACUUGACUUUAACUUCACUACCUCUUCCUGGAGUUAUCAUAGUUUACCUUAUUCCAAUUGUGCUUGGAUCAUUAAACAAAAUAUACAAUGAUGUAUUAUACCUGUAGUAGCAGUUUAAGGGAUGCCACUUCACUUUUCAACUUCUUUAUUGAAAGAAAGACAAC